Molecule: ribosomal RNA, 252 nt
Filed under: uncultured prokaryote
Description: partial 16S ribosomal RNA
Rfam family: Bacterial small subunit ribosomal RNA
Source: RNAcentral
UACGUAGGUGGCAAGCGUUAUCCGGAAUUAUUGGGCGUAAAGGGUGCGUAGGCGGUCUGUAAAGUUCAUGGUGAAAGCGUGGGGCUCAACCCCAUAAAGCCAUGGAUACUGGCAGACUAGAGUACUGGAGAGGGUAGUGGAAUUCCAUGUGUAGCGGUAAAAUGCGUAGAUAUAUGGAGGAACACCAGUGGCGAAGGCGGCUACCUAGACAGAGACUGACGCUGAGGCACGAAAGCGUGGGGAGCAAAUAGG